CCCUUAGAUGUUCUGGGCCGCACGCGUGCUACACUGAGUAAUUCAAUGGGUAAGGGAACGCUAGAGCAUUACCUAAUCUUGAAAUUUGCUCGUGAUGGGGAUCGACGGUUGCAAUUUUCCGUCGUGAACGAGGAAUACCUUGUAGGCGCAUGUCAUCAUCAUGCGCCGAAUACGUCCCUGCCCUUUGUACACACCGCCCGUCGCUCCUACCGAUUGAGUGAUCCGGUAAGGCUCUGGGACCUGGACGGAAAGAGCGUUUCGCUUGUUCUGUUUGGGAAACUUGGUCGAACCUUAUCAUUUAGAGGAAGGAGAAGUCGUAACA
RNAcentral lists this ribosomal RNA (322 nucleotides) under uncultured eukaryote. RNAcentral describes it as "partial 18S ribosomal RNA". It matches the Rfam family "Eukaryotic small subunit ribosomal RNA", at positions 1470 to 1796 of the family's 1831-position model. The record is from RNAcentral.